CAUUCAGAAAAGAAAAAAAGAACAAAAGAUUCUCAAGUUUUCUUCAGAAACAUGACUCCAUGCAAGAUUGUAGCGUUCUUCAUGAUCCUCUUCGUCUCCUCUGCCUUGAUUGAGGAGAGCAUGGCGUGUACGAGUAUCAUUGGAUCGUGUGUGGGCAUUAACUGCGAUGCAAAGUGCAAGUGGAGGUACGGCCAAAAGGCCACUAGCUUCUGCGACCCUCAAGGCGCUUGCCACUGCGGCUACCCCUGCCCUGCUCACACCACCACUCCAUGAGCCCUCAAUCUCCUAUAUAUGGAACCCUUCUCUCUCUCUCUCUCUCUCUAUCUAUCUAUAUAUCCAUGUAAAUGACAACAAUGUCAAUCAUAUGUGAUGUUUACCGACAUAAUAAUAUCAAUAAUAAUAAUAUUAAGCAUUUCGUCCUC
Long non-coding RNA from Tarenaya hassleriana, 422 nucleotides. RefSeq lists it as uncharacterized. Lineage: Eukaryota; Viridiplantae; Streptophyta; Magnoliopsida; Brassicales; Cleomaceae. The transcript is spliced from 2 exons. The record is from RefSeq and is a predicted model, not a curated record.